RNAcentral lists this ribosomal RNA (500 nucleotides) under uncultured bacterium. Its description in RNAcentral is "partial 16S ribosomal RNA". It matches the Rfam family "Bacterial small subunit ribosomal RNA", at positions 30 to 523 of the family's 1533-position model. The record is from RNAcentral.
AUUGAACGCUGGCGGCAGGCCUAACACAUGCAAGUCGAGCGGAUGACGGGAGCUUGCUCCUUGAUUCAGCGGCGGACGGGUGAGUAAUGCCUAGGAAUCUGCCUGGUAGUGGGGGACAACGUUUCGAAAGGAACGCUAAUACCGCAUACGUCCUACGGGAGAAAGCAGGGGCCCUUCGGGCCUUGCGCUAUCAGAUGAGCCUAGGUCGGAUUAGCUAGUUGGUGGGGUAAUGGCUCACCAAGGCGACGAUCCGUAACUGAUCUGAGAGGAUGAUCAGUCACACUGGAACUGAGACACGGUCCAGACUCCUACGGGAGGCAGCAGUGGGGAAUAUUGGACAAUGGGCGAAAGCCUGAUCCAGCCAUGCCGCGUGUGUGAAGAAGGUCUUCGGAUUGUAAAGCACUUUAAGUUGGGAGGAAGGGCAGUAAGUUAAUACCUUGCUGUUUUGACGUUACCGACAGAAUAAGCACCGGCUAACUCUGUGCCAGCCGCCGCGGUAA